Molecule: ribosomal RNA, 817 nt
Filed under: Polypedates colletti (black-spotted tree frog)
Lineage: Eukaryota; Metazoa; Chordata; Amphibia; Anura; Rhacophoridae
Description: partial 16S ribosomal RNA
Rfam family: Bacterial large subunit ribosomal RNA
Source: RNAcentral
UACCUCAUAAUGAAUGAUUCCAUACUUCUAUGGAGGACACCAUGCUGGGAUUAGUAACAAGAAAAUAUUCUCCUAAAUGCAAACAUAAACCAAAAAGGACAGGCCAUUGGUAAUUAUCGAAUUUGAGACCACUGCAGAAACACUUACAAGAAAAUCCUACAGAAUUUAAUCGUUAACCUUACACCAGCGCAUUUCAGGAAAGAUUAAAAGAAAGAGAAGGAACUCGGCAAAUAACAACCCCGCCUGUUUACCAAAAACAUCGCCUCUUGUCUUAUUAUAGGAGGUCUAGCCUGCCCAGUGAGUUUUUAACGGCCGCGGUAUCCUAACCGCGCGAAGGUAGCAUAAUCACUUGUUCUUUAAAUGAGGACUUGUAUCAACGGCAUCACGAGGGUUUUACUGUCUCCUCUUUCUGAUCAGUGAAAUUGAUCUUCCCGUGAAGAAGCGGGAAUUUACAUAUAAGACGAGAAGACCCCAUGGAGCUUCAAACCUGACAACAACUUAACCGUGAACCCCCUAAUAGUUAUAAAGUAAUGCUGUAAGGUUUUGGGUUGGGGUGACCACGGAGUAAAACACAACCUCCAUGGCGAAAAGGCCACAAUCUUUAUUUAAGAACAACAAUUCUAGAAAUUAGGACACUAACGCUUUAUGAUCCGACAAUCGAUCAACGGACCAAGUUACCCUGGGGAUAACAGCGCAAUCUACUUCAAGAGCCCAUAUCGACAAGUAGGCUUACGACCUCGAUGUUGGAUCAGGAUAUCCCAGUAGUGCAGCCGCUACUAAAGGUUCGUUUGUUCAACGAUUAAAAUCCUACGUGAUC